CGGCAGGCUUAACACAUGCAAGGUCAGGGGGUAACAGGGAAAAGCUUAGCGUUUUCUGCUGACGACCGGCGCACGGGUGCGUAACGCGAUACAAUCUGCCUUAUACAGAGGGAUAGCCUUUAGAAAUGAAGAUUAAUACCUUAUAGUCUAUAUAUAUAGCAUUAUAUAAAUAGUAAAGCUUCGGUGGUAUAAGAUGAGUAUGCGUCCUAUUAGUUAGUUGGUGAGGUAACGGCUUACCAAGACAACGAUAGGUAGGGGCCCUGAGAGGGGGAUCCCCCACACUGGUACUGAGACACGGACCAGACUCCUACGGGAGGCAGCAGUGAGGAAUAUUGGACAAUGGAGGCAACUCUGAUCCAGCCAUGCCGCGUGCAGGAAGACGGCCCUAUGGGUUGUAAACUGCUUUUAUAUAGGAAGAAACCUUUUCACGUGUGAGAAGCUGACGGUACUAUAAGAAUAAGGACCGGCUAACUCCGUG
Molecule: ribosomal RNA, 478 nt
Filed under: uncultured bacterium
Lineage: Bacteria
Description: bacterial SSU rRNA
Rfam family: Bacterial small subunit ribosomal RNA
Source: RNAcentral